UACGAAGGGGGCUAGCGUUGUUCGGAAUCACUGGGCGUAAAGCGCACGCAGGCGGAUCGUUAAGUCAGGAGUGAAAUGCCGAGGCUCAACCUCGGAACUGCCUUUGAUACUGGCGAUCUUAGAGUCCGGGAGAGGUGAGUGGAACUCCGAGUGUAGAGGUGAAAUUCGUAGAUAUUCGGAAGAACACCAGUGGCGAAGGCGGCUCACUGGCCCGAUACUGACGCUGAGGUGCGAAAGCGUGGGGAGCAAACAGG
RNAcentral lists this ribosomal RNA (254 nucleotides) under uncultured bacterium. RNAcentral describes it as "partial 16S ribosomal RNA". It matches the Rfam family "Bacterial small subunit ribosomal RNA", at positions 524 to 776 of the family's 1533-position model. The record is from RNAcentral.